This 257-nucleotide ribosomal RNA is filed under the name uncultured bacterium. RNAcentral's name for it is "partial 16S ribosomal RNA". It matches the Rfam family "Bacterial small subunit ribosomal RNA", at positions 524 to 776 of the family's 1533-position model. The record is from RNAcentral.
UACGGAGGGAGCUAGCGUUAUCCGGAAUCACUGGGCGUAAAGGGUAUGUAGGCGGUUGUGUUAGUCUUUCGUGAAAGGCUUUGGGCUUAACCCAGAGACCGCGGAGGAAACGGCACGACUUUUAGAGGAUGUGAGAGGUAAAGGGAACUCAAGGUGUAGGGGUGAAAUCCGUUGAUAUCUUGGGGAACACCAAAAGCGAAGGCACUUUACUGGCACACUCCUGACGCUGAAAUACGAAAGCGUGGGUAGCGAACGGG